AUUGAAUUACUAUUACUACUUAUGUAAUAAUAGUUCGAUGUGGUAGGUAGCCACAGUGCUCCCCCUCAAGUGAAACGUACUGGAAGCUUGACGGAGCGGCCGGCUCGCGUUGUGACUUUAUUAUUAUUCGCGGUCGGUUGUGACGUCACGCUGCCGUGCGGCUUGUCGGAAGUAUUCUGUGGCGAGGUACUAUUCUGUAGUGACGUAUCGUUAGGUAUGUUUUCUUGUAAUAAGUAAGCGGGCUUGAGACGAUCUAUUGAGAUGUUAGUUUCGCGAUUUUGUAGUUGUAUCGUAUAUACUUUCUCUGUUCUUUUUAUUACACGAUACGGUCCUUCGUAGGGUGGUUGUAAAGGUUUUUUAAUUGCGUCGACUCUAACGAAUACGUGGCUGCAGUUGCGUAGGUCUUUAUGUAUAAAAAUAGAUUGCUUGCUAUUAUGAUGCGUCGUCGCUGCUUGCGGUUGCUAUUUCUUCGUAAUUGAUUGCAGAAGGACAUGUAAUUGUUUCUAUGCGACUUAGAGCGUCGGCAACGAUGUUUUGUUUGCCGCUUACAUGUCUUAUGUCGGUUGUAAAUUCGCUAAUAAAUAAUAACUGUCUCGUGCGUCUCGGUGUUUCUGUAGUCGA
RNAcentral lists this unclassified non-coding RNA (621 nucleotides) under Melitaea cinxia (Glanville fritillary). Its description in RNAcentral is "misc RNA ENSMCXG00005018994.1". Lineage: Eukaryota; Metazoa; Arthropoda; Insecta; Lepidoptera; Nymphalidae. The record is from RNAcentral.